Molecule: long non-coding RNA, 1201 nt
Filed under: Panax ginseng (ginseng)
Lineage: Eukaryota; Viridiplantae; Streptophyta; Magnoliopsida; Apiales; Araliaceae
Description: long non-coding RNA (PGIN_LNC019069)
Source: RNAcentral
ACCAAUCAGCAAUGUUUCACACACAUGCAUGCAUGCAUGCAUGUACAAUUAAUGAUCACAUUGUAAAUACAAAUCAACACGUACAAGCCACACACGCUCACAAAGUUUCAACCUUUUAUUGCUCACUCAAAACUUACAUCGGCUAAUUAAAGGCUUGCAAGACUCGAACAAUGUCUGCAAUACAACAAUACCUAUACAUAUAAAUAUAUGGAGUACAAAAUAGCCUGGGGUUGAGGAAUUUCAGCCAAUGUCCAACCGACAUUUGAAUGCUCAGCAAAUAAGUAUGUUUGAAUGUGCGCACAAGCCAAAUUCGUUUUUAGACAAUGUCCAACAAUGAUGAUAUGUUGUCUGCCCCGCAACUGUUAUCAGCAAGUGUUGUCUAACCCAUUCGGCCCAACAUCUAGGCAACCGACGAAGUCAGCCUGCCCAUGGCCUGAGUGGACUUCACCACACCACCCCCUAUAUACUAACACUAAAGAAAAUGUUUUAAGUGUCACUACGUACUACACAUCAGGUAUGCUUGAAGAAUAUCCCUAGGUAUUACCCCCAAGUGUUUGAUAAAAUACCAUGCCACGAGUCAAGUGUCACAUAGCAUGCCAAAAUUAAUGUCAAUUAGUAAGGAACUAAAAUUCAAUUUGUAAAAUGUAUUUUGAUUUUUGAAUAAAUUAUGUUAAUACUAUUAUUUUCAACUUAUAUUUUAAAAUUAUAAACUCCAAGUUACAACAAAUAUGGCCUAAUAUUCAGUCACGACUCUCGCGCAGUUACGAGUAAAAGUGGAUAGGUCCGUAUAGCCAAAUAUCUGUAACAGUUCAUAUAUAUAUAUAUAUAUAUAAGGUCCCUUAAACCUAGCUAGCCUAGACCUGGGACUGUCGCCCUAAUAUGUAUAUAUAUAUAUAGAGAGAGACAGAGAGAGAGAGAGAGAGAGAGGGGGGGAAGGAGAGUACACACGUGGAUUUCAAUAUGACGGAUCGGAAGUAGUACUCAGGACUAACUUCAGUUUCAGGUGCCUCCUUCAAUUCUCACCUCUCUAUCUCUCCUGCAUGAUUAUUAGAUGAUGGCCUGCAGGUUCAUCUGGGUUUUUGUUUUUGGGAAUGGGAUUAAUUUGGAAUUAUGCAUUACAUAUGUCUCUCUAUAUCUGUCUCUCUAUAUAUCUAUAUAUAUAUAAUGAAUUCGGUUACUAUAAAAUAAAUAUUAUUAUAAA